UACGUAGGGUGCAAGCGUUGUCCGGAAUUAUUGGGCGUAAAGAGCGCGCAGGCGGCUACGCACGUCCGUUGUGAAAUCGCUCGGCUCAACUGGGCGGGGUCAGCGGAUACGGCGUGGCUGGAGCAAGCUAGGGGGCAAUGGAAUUCCCGGUGUAGUGGUGGAAUGCGUAGAUAUCUGGAGGAACACCGGUGGCGAAGGCGGCUCUCUGGACCACUACUGACGCUGAGGCGCGAAAGCUAGGGGAGCAAACAGG
Molecule: ribosomal RNA, 253 nt
Filed under: uncultured bacterium
Lineage: Bacteria
Description: partial 16S ribosomal RNA
Rfam family: Bacterial small subunit ribosomal RNA
Source: RNAcentral